GAAACUGCUCAAAGGUAAACGGGUGGGCCCUCGCAAAUCCGUUGGCGGGGGACUCAGUCGGGAAGCGCGGGCUCGUGCGCCGGUGGUUUGUUCGGACCCUCUCCUGGGCCGGGCCGGUGCCGCAGUCUCCGUGCGAUCCGACGCACUUCCUCCCGCCCCUUGGACGCCGCAGCCGGUUGGGUCGCUGCGCGAGUCGGCCAUAAGGACGGGCAGCGGAAGGUGGCCGGUGGCGUUCCUCGUGUUCGUCGCCGGUCGUUAUCCAGCCCGCCCGUGGCGCGACACCCGACCGAGGUCGAAGGUCCCGGUUAGGACCUUGCCGUCCCCUCCCCCGUGGUCGAGCAGGAGCGCCAGCAGGCGAUUCCCCGUUCGGUCGUCUCCACUCUCCGAGUGGGCGGUCGCCGGGUGACGCCGUUGGCGAGGUGUCUUCCUGCGCGGGGUUCCGGCGGCUUGCGGCGAGUAGGUCGGUCACCCACCCGACCCGUCUUGAAACACGGACCAAGGAGUCUAACAUGUGCGCGAGUCACGGGGUCUUGCUUAGGCCCAGAGGCGCAAUGAAAGUGAAGGCCGGCCUUGACGCCGGCCGAGUUGGGAUUCUCCGCCCUCGCGGCGGGGAAGCACCAACGGCCCGCCCUGUCCGAUUCAUCGGUUGGGCGGAGCGUGAGCGUACACGUUGGGACCCGAAAGAUGGUGAACUAUGCCUGGGCAGGACGAAGCCAGAGGAAACUCUGGUGGAGGUCCGUAGCGGUUCUGACGUGCAAAUCGAUCGUCAGACCUGGGUAUAGGGGCGAAAGACUAAUCGAACC
RNAcentral lists this ribosomal RNA (803 nucleotides) under Cyriopagopus schmidti (Chinese earth tiger). Its description in RNAcentral is "eukaryotic LSU rRNA". The stretch from base 495 to 803 matches the Rfam family "Eukaryotic large subunit ribosomal RNA", at positions 665 to 941 of the family's 3401-position model. Lineage: Eukaryota; Metazoa; Arthropoda; Arachnida; Araneae; Theraphosidae. The record is from RNAcentral.